GUUCCCCAUCUUCCUCACACACACACACACACACACACACACACACACACACACACACACACACACAGCUAACAACUCUCCUGGCGCAGCUCGCCGGCGGAUAAUCAAGAGGAAAAGCAUCAGCGAGCCGACUGUGUGAGGUUCACUGAGAUCAAGGGAUGAAUUUAAAAAAAAAAAAAAUCUGAAUCUCUUCGCCGUGUUUGAAGGAGCCAAAAGCAAGAAAGAUGUCUGACGACCACAGACUGGCGCACGUUUAUCUGCUCACACUGGUGAAAAUAUCAACUACUCAGAAAUAAGAAAUAAGAAAUAAGACGUGUUUCCAGCUCAAAUCACAACCGGAUGUCAACGCUGAAACCCUCCCGACUGUUAACUAUACAUAUAAAACUCACGUUGACGUUAUAUCUAUUAUUUCUGACUCCAAAAAAGGGAGGAUUCAAUGAGACUUCUCCUAAUGAAAGAUGUAAAAUAAGAAAGAAAAAGACAGAUAAAAGAGCAACAUACUCCACUGACGAGCUUUAGUUGCCUAAAUUAAACCAGAAACUCUUACCUCAAAGUUUUUCACUUCAUGAUUUCCCUAAAUUCCCCCCAAAAAAGUCACUCAUCAGCUCCCGGAGAACAUGUCUAGACUUGUAUUCAUGCUUUGUUUACAUGUAAGCAGAAGAACAAAGCACCGUGUGAUUGUCAGUUAAACCGUCUUGUGCUGUUUGACCUCCUUCAGCUGCUGUUUGAUUCCAGGAGAAAGACGAACGCAGGAAAAUAUGAAUGAGCGCAGAUACAGAUCGGUGUAGGGAAGACGGAUACGAGCAGGGAGAAGUGGUGAUGACCUCUUUCUCCGUUGCCUUUUUCCUGUAAUUGUCCACCAUUGAUUAAAGACAGAAACCUCUGAGUGAACAAACCAAGGUGGAGGAGGAGGAGCAGCUGGUCACCUGCUGUCAGGGUGGCAAUGGCAGGAAAUCCACCAUAAACACUCGCUCUGUUUUCAGCGGCGGCUUCGCUCGGUGCUUCUCAUCCCAGAGGACCUCCAGACUGAUUGGAAAAAGCUUUUUUUCCAGAUGCUUCAAACAAACCAUUCAUCCCGACAACAAUGAGGUCAUCCACUAUUCUGGCUCUCCAAACAGGAAUCCCUAAACAAAGUUUGGUUGGUUCAUGUUUGGCCGCAGCGUUGUGUGUGUUCACUGGUGUGUGAACUAUUAUGGAAGGACAUGAAUGGGAGUUUGUAAAUUGGACGGCGAUGGCCCUCCACCUCCCCCCGCUGAAGUGACAUCAGCCGAGAGCAGGAAGGCUUUGAAACCGAGCGAGGACAGAGAGGACAUUUAGCUCCCUGGUUUUUAAAAAAAAACAUCUUACUGCAAUCUGGGUGUUUUUCUCCUAAAUAUAAAGUUUCCAUGGACACUGAGUGCCUCCUUAACAUCAGGCCUUUUAAACUUUUUAAAGCUACACUGCUCUGUUUACAAUGUACGACUGAAAAAAAGGGGGAAAAAAAUCUUUCCUUUAAUUCCUCCAUUUGUUUUUCUCCCAGAAUUUCAGUCAAGGAGAAACAUUUCUACAAGCCGUCUGCAGAGACACUCGCUGCUAAGAUAAUAAUUCAUUUAUUGAUCAAUUAAUCAUAGUGAAUAAACAGUGAUGAAUAUGCUGUUAUUGCAGCAGAGUUCAGCAAAACAU
Molecule: long non-coding RNA, 1662 nt
Organism: Thunnus maccoyii (southern bluefin tuna)
Lineage: Eukaryota; Metazoa; Chordata; Actinopteri; Scombriformes; Scombridae
Exons: 2
Source: RefSeq, a predicted model, not a curated record